GGCGUCUUAACACAGGCAAGUCGAACGGAAAGGCCCUGCUUUUGUGGGUCCUCGAUUGGCGAAUGGGUGAGUAACACGUGAGUAACCUGCCCUUGACUUUGGGAUAACUCCAGGAAACGGGGGCUAAUACCGGAUAGGAGCUCAUGCUGCAUGGUGGGGGUUGGAAAGUUUCGGCGGUUGGGGAUGUACUCCGGCUUAUCAGCUUGUUGGUGGUGUAGUGGCUUACCAAGGCUUUGACGGGUAGCCGGCCUGAGAGGGUGACCGGCCACAUUGGGACUGAGAUACGGCCCAGACUCCUACGGGAGGCAGCAGUGGGGAAUAUUGCACAAUGGGCGGAAGCCUGAUGCAGCAACGCCGCGUGCGGGAUGACGGCCUUCGGGUUGUAAACCGCUUUCGCCUGUGACGAAGCGUGAGUGACGGUAAUGGGUAAAGAAGCACCGGCUAACUACGUGCCAGCAGCCGCGGUGAUACGUAGGGUGCGAGCGUUGUCCGGAUUUAUUGGGCGUAAAGGGCUCGUAGGUGGUUGAUCGCGUCGGAAGUGUAAUCUUGGGGCUUAACCCUGAGCGUGCUUUCGAUACGGGUUGACUUGAGGAAGGUAGGGGAGAAUGGAAUUCCUGGUGGAGCGGUGGAAUGCGCAGAUAUCAGGAGGAACACCAGUGGCGAAGGCGGUUCUCUGGGCCUUUCCUGACGCUGAGGAGCGAAAGCGUGGGGAGCGAACAGGCUUAGAUACCCUGGUAGUCCACGCUGUAA
This 750-nucleotide ribosomal RNA is filed under the name uncultured bacterium. Its description in RNAcentral is "bacterial SSU rRNA". It matches the Rfam family "Bacterial small subunit ribosomal RNA", at positions 41 to 805 of the family's 1533-position model. The record is from RNAcentral.